RNAcentral lists this ribosomal RNA (492 nucleotides) under uncultured bacterium. RNAcentral describes it as "partial 16S ribosomal RNA". It matches the Rfam family "Bacterial small subunit ribosomal RNA", at positions 29 to 507 of the family's 1533-position model. The record is from RNAcentral.
AGUGAACGCUGGCGGUAGGCCUAACACAUGCAAGUCGAACGGCAGCACAGUAAGAGCUUGCUCUUACGGGUGGCGAGUGGCGGACGGGUGAGGAAUACAUCGGAAUCUACUUUUUCGUGGGGGAUAACGUAGGGAAACUUACGCUAAUACCGCAUACGACCUACGGGUGAAAGCAGGGGAUCUUCGGACCUUGCGCGAAUGAAUGAGCCGAUGUCGGAUUAGCUAGUUGGCGGGGUAAAGGCCCACCAAGGCGACGAUCCGUAGCUGGUCUGAGAGGAUGAUCGGCCACACUGGAACUGAGACACGGUCCAGACUCCUACGGGAGGCAGCAGUGGGGAAUAGUAGACAAUGGGCGCAAACCUGAUCCAGCCAUACCGCGUGGGUGAAGAAGGCCUUCGGGUUGUAAAGCCCUUUUGUUGGGAAAGAAAAGCAGCAGGUUAAUACCCCGCUGUUCUGACGGUACCCAAAGAAUAAGCACCGGCUAACUUCGUG